Molecule: ribosomal RNA, 253 nt
Filed under: uncultured bacterium
Lineage: Bacteria
Description: partial 16S ribosomal RNA
Rfam family: Bacterial small subunit ribosomal RNA
Source: RNAcentral
UACGUAGGGUGCGAGCGUUGUCCGGAAUUACUGGGCGUAAAGAGCUCGUAGGUGGUUUGUCGCGUUGUCCGUGAAAACUCACAACUCAAUUGUGGGCGUGCGGGCGAUACGGGCAGACUGGAGUACUGCAGGGGAGACUGGAAUUCCUGGUGUAGCGGUGAAAUGCGUAGAUAUCAGGAGGAACACCGGUGGCGAAGGCGGAUUUCUGGACCAGUUCUGACACUGAUGAGCGAAAGCCAGGGGAGCAAACAGG